CUAAGGCUAAAUACUCUCUAGUGACCGAUAGUGAACCAGUACCGUGAGGGAAAGGUGAAAAGCACCCCGGAAGGGGAGUGAAAUAGAACCUGAAACCGUGUGCUUACAAGUAGUCAGAGCCCGUUAAUGGGUGAUGGCGUGCCUUUUGUAGAAUGAACCGGCGAGUUACGAUUUGAUGCAAGGUUAAGCAGUAAAUGUGGAGCCGUAGCGAAAGCGAGUCUGAAUAGGGCGUUUAGUAUUUGGUCGUAGACCCGAAACCAGGUGAUCUACCCUUGGUCAGGUUGAAGUUCAGGUAACACUGAAUGGAGGACCGAACCGACUUACGUUGAAAAGUGAGCGGAUGAACUGAGGGUAGCGGAGAAAUUCCAAUCGAACCUGGAGAUAGCUGGUUCUCUCCGAAAUAGCUUUAGGGCUAGCCUCAAGUGAUGAUUAUUGGAGGUAGAGCACUGUUUGGACGAGGGGCCCCUCUCGGGUUACCGAAUUCAGACAAACUCCGAAUGCCAAUUAAUUUAACUUGGGAGUCAGAACAUGGGUGAUAAGGUCCGUGUUCGAAAGGGAAACAGCCCAGACCACCAGCUAAGGUCCCAAAAUAUAUGUUAAGUGGAAAAGGAUGUGGCGUUGCCCAGACAACUAGGAUGUUGGCUUAGAAGCAGCCAUCAUUUAAAGAGUGCGUAAUAGCUCACUAGUCGAGUGACACUGCGCCGAAAAUGUACCGGGGCUAAACAUAUUACCGAAGCUGUGGAUUGUCCUUUGGACAAUGGUAGGAGAGCGUUCUAAGGGCGUUGAAGCAUGAUCGUAAGGACAUGUGGAGCGCUUAGAAGUGAGAAUGCCGGUGUGAGUAGCGA
RNAcentral lists this ribosomal RNA (845 nucleotides) under Staphylococcus aureus. Its description in RNAcentral is "partial 23S ribosomal RNA". It matches the Rfam family "Bacterial large subunit ribosomal RNA", at positions 460 to 1312 of the family's 2925-position model. Lineage: Bacteria; Bacillati; Bacillota; Bacilli; Caryophanales; Staphylococcaceae. The record is from RNAcentral.